Non-coding RNA from Sus scrofa (pig), 634 nucleotides. NCBI's taxonomy places the organism in Eukaryota, Metazoa, Chordata, Mammalia, Artiodactyla, Suidae. The record is from RefSeq and is a predicted model, not a curated record.
AGACAUGGAAUCAGCCAUUGCAGAACAUCGCUUCUAGUAGGCUAGACGGGAAGUUGCUUCUGGAACUGAGUCAGGAGCCUCUCCUUCCCACUGUGGCUGCGUGACACAUAGCUGACAUCUCUCCUCAGAGGAACACGUCAGGCCAUCAUGAACCAAGAUCAGUGAAGAGCUUCCUUACUCAGUCCAAGAACAAGAAGAGCACACUGGACCCAAAGUAAGCAGAUGAAAAUCUCAGAACCUGGGAUGAUGCUGAAAUGGCCUUCUAGACAACAAGGAAUGAGAAGGACCACAUGAUAAAGAUCUUCCUAAGGGCUCUGUGACCAACUAUUGAAGACUUCACACUGCCCAACUCCAGGGGACACAAUUCACAUAGACUUCAUGUGCAUGAUCCUUCAUCCUGCCACCUUGAAGUCUGUACAGCACAGCAACCUCUGUCUACUCAGGAACCAAUCAAACAAGAUGAACCACUGCUCAAGAAAGGAAAUCACAGUUAAGUGAGGUUUCAGGAAGAAAAGGACAGUUCAAGGAGUCAUGAAAGCUUCAUUCUGGUGUUGGUUCUGCCAAUAACUAAUUAUGUGACUCACAGUGCUCUUUUCUGGGACUCUGUUCCUUUCUCUGCAAAAUAAAAGAAGUU